RNAcentral lists this ribosomal RNA (1462 nucleotides) under Lactiplantibacillus plantarum. RNAcentral's name for it is "bacterial SSU rRNA". It matches the Rfam family "Bacterial small subunit ribosomal RNA". The record is from RNAcentral. Lineage: Bacteria; Bacillati; Bacillota; Bacilli; Lactobacillales; Lactobacillaceae.
AGUCGAACGAACUCUGGUAUUGAUUGGUGCUUGCAUCAUGAUUUACAUUUGAGUGAGUGGCGAACUGGUGAGUAACACGUGGGAAACCUGCCCAGAAGCGGGGGAUAACACCUGGAAACAGAUGCUAAUACCGCAUAACAACUUGGACCGCAUGGUCCGAGUUUGAAAGAUGGCUUCGGCUAUCACUUUUGGAUGGUCCCGCGGCGUAUUAGCUAGAUGGUGAGGUAACGGCUCACCAUGGCAAUGAUACGUAGCCGACCUGAGAGGGUAAUCGGCCACAUUGGGACUGAGACACGGCCCAAACUCCUACGGGAGGCAGCAGUAGGGAAUCUUCCACAAUGGACGAAAGUCUGAUGGAGCAACGCCGCGUGAGUGAAGAAGGGUUUCGGCUCGUAAAACUCUGUUGUUAAAGAAGAACAUAUCUGAGAGUAACUGUUCAGGUAUUGACGGUAUUUAACCAGAAAGCCACGGCUAACUACGUGCCAGCAGCCGCGGUAAUACGUAGGUGGCAAGCGUUGUCCGGAUUUAUUGGGCGUAAAGCAAGCGCAGGCGGUUUUUUAAGUCUGAUGUGAAAGCCUUCGGCUCAACCGAAGAAGUGCAUCGGAAACUGGGAAACUUGAGUGCAGAAGAGGACAGUGGAACUCCAUGUGUAGCGGUGAAAUGCGUAGAUAUAUGGAAGAACACCAGUGGCGAAGGCGGCUGUCUGGUCUGUAACUGACGCUGAGGCUCGAAAGUAUGGGUAGCAAACAGGAUUAGAUACCCUGGUAGUCCAUACCGUAAACGAUGAAUGCUAAGUGUUGGAGGGUUUCCGCCCUUCAGUGCUGCAGCUAACGCAUUAAGCAUUCCGCCUGGGGAGUACGGCCGCAAGGCUGAAACUCAAAGGAAUUGACGGGGGCCCGCACAAGCGGUGGAGCAUGUGGUUUAAUUCGAAGCUACGCGAAGAACCUUACCAGGUCUUGACAUACUAUGCAAAUCUAAGAGAUUAGACGUUCCCUUCGGGGACAUGGAUACAGGUGGUGCAUGGUUGUCGUCAGCUCGUGUCGUGAGAUGUUGGGUUAAGUCCCGCAACGAGCGCAACCCUUAUUAUCAGUUGCCAGCAUUAAGUUGGGCACUCUGGUGAGACUGCCGGUGACAAACCGGAGGAAGGUGGGGAUGACGUCAAAUCAUCAUGCCCCUUAUGACCUGGGCUACACACGUGCUACAAUGGAUGGUACAACGAGUUGCGAACUCGCGAGAGUAAGCUAAUCUCUUAAAGCCAUUCUCAGUUCGGAUUGUAGGCUGCAACUCGCCUACAUGAAGUCGGAAUCGCUAGUAAUCGCGGAUCAGCAUGCCGCGGUGAAUACGUUCCCGGGCCUUGUACACACCGCCCGUCACACCAUGAGAGUUUGUAACACCCAAAGUCGGUGGGGUAACCUUUUAGGAACCAGCCGCCUAAGGUGGGACAGAUGAUUAGGGUGAAGUC